This 1127-nucleotide ribosomal RNA is filed under the name Crypthecodinium cohnii. RNAcentral describes it as "partial Bacterial large subunit ribosomal RNA". It matches the Rfam family "Bacterial large subunit ribosomal RNA", at positions 17 to 1093 of the family's 2925-position model. Lineage: Eukaryota; Dinophyceae; Gonyaulacales; Crypthecodiniaceae. The record is from RNAcentral.
GCGCAUGGUGGAUGCCUUGGCAUCAGGAGCCGAUGAAGGACGUUGGAGCCUGCGAUAAGCCUCGGGGAGUUGGCAACCGAAUGUUGAUCCGAGGAUUUCCGAAUGGGGGAACCCGGCCGCCGUCAUGGGUGGUCACCCGCAUCUGAAUGUAUAGGGUGCGUGGAGGGAACGUGGGGAAGUGAAACAUCUCAGUACCCACAGGAAGAGAAAACAAACAGUGAUUCCGUGAGUAGUGGCGAGCGAAAGCGGAUGAGGCUAAACCGUGUCUGUGUGAUACCUGGUAGGGGUUGCAGGUGCGGGGUUGUGGGAGUUCACCGGAGCCGGCUACCGACGGUUCGAGGAGUAAGAAAGUCGUGCUGUAGUCGAAGGGCCUGGGAUGGUCCGGCGUAGUGGGUGAGACCCCCGUAGACGAAACAGUGUGGCCUCCUUGGGUGGGUGUCCCGAGUAGCACGGGGCUCGUGAAAUCUCGUGUGAAUCUGCCAGGACCACCUGGUAAGCCUAAAUACUUCCUGAUGACCGAUAGCGGACAAGUACCGUGAGGGAAUGGUGAAAAGCACCCCGGGAGGGGAGUGAAAUAGUACCUGAAACCGUGUGCCUACAAUCCGUCGGAGCAGGCUUGUACCUGUGACGGCGUGCCUUUUGAAGAAUGAGCCUGCGAGUUAGUGGUGUGUGGCGAGGUUAACCCGGGUGGGGAAGCCGUAGCGAAAGCGAGUCCGAAUAGGGCGUUUGAGUCGCAUGCUCUAGACCCGAAGCGGAGUGAUCUACCCAUGGCCAGGUUGAAGCGCGGGUAAGACCGCGUGGAGGACCGAACCCACCAGGGUUAAAAACCUGGGGGAUGAGCUGUGGGUAGGGGUGAAAGGCCAAUCAAACUUCGUGAUAGCUGGUUCUCUCCGAAAUGCAUUUAGGUGCAGCGUUGCGUGUUUCUUGCCGGAGGUAGAGCUACUGGAUGGCUAAUGGGCCCCACCGGGUUACUGACGUCAGCCAAACUCCGAAUGCCGGUAAGUGAGAGCGCAGCAGUGAGACUGUGGGGGAUAAGCUUCAUAGUCGAGAGGGAAACAACCCAGACCACCAACUAAGGUCCCAAAGACUACACUAAGUGGAAAACGUUGUGGGAGUGCAUAGACAGC